RNAcentral lists this long non-coding RNA (650 nucleotides) under Bos indicus x Bos taurus (hybrid cattle). RNAcentral's name for it is "lncRNA (ENSBIXG00000004397.1)". Lineage: Eukaryota; Metazoa; Chordata; Mammalia; Artiodactyla; Bovidae. The record is from RNAcentral.
UGGUGUGUGUCAGGGUGACCGUGUGCCAGUGCCCAUCACAUUUGCCAGGCUUCCUUGAAGCUAGGUGUGAGCAUGUGAACAUUUCUGGCCACAAGGCAAGCUGAAGUUUGUGGGCAGAAGAUUUUGGAAAGCUCCUUAAAGGAGAGACAGCCCGUUUGUCUUUCCCUGCUUGCUCCUUCCUGGUGCCCUGGCUUUCAGAGGUGACGGCAAGUGCUCCAGCAGCCAUCUGGAUCCUAAAGUAACCUUGACGAUGGAAGCUAUGUUCGGAGGGUGACAGAGCAGACACAUAAACCUGGGUUCCUGAUUUACAUUGUAUCUCCUUACCAGAGCUUCUUUUAGAGUUCAAGAGGAGCAUUUCUUUGGGGAUUUUACAAAGAUUGCAUCUUUUCAGUUGCUUUCCAACUGGGUCAGUCUGCUGGAGCAGGCAUCAGAGGAUGCUGGCAGACUUAAAUGCCACUGGACAAAUAGGACACUUGUAGAAGACUUCACAGUGAGAACCUUGAAUGUGAGACUUCAGUAAGGCCACAUCAGAGUACACAGCAUUGGAUUGCACACAUCGGAAACCCACUCUCCACGUGCAGUGCAGACAGUUCUUGGUGAUGUGGGUCUGGACGUGAGCGGACCUGCAGACGGCUCCACACUCAGGGCAG